GAUGAACGCUGGCGGCGUGCCUAAUACAUGCAAGUCGAGCGAACAGACGAGGAGCUUGCUCCUCUGACGUUAGCGGCGGACGGGUGAGUAACACGUGGAUAACCUACCUAUAAGACUGGGAUAACUUCGGGAAACCGGAGCUAAUACCGGAUAAUAUAUUGAACCGCAUGGUUCAAUAGUGAAAGACGGUUUUGCUGUCACUUAUAGAUGGAUCCGCGCCGCAUUAGCUAGUUGGUAAGGUAACGGCUUACCAAGGCAACGAUGCAUAGCCGACCUGUGAGGGUGAUCGGCCAAACUGGAACUGGGAGACGGUCCAGACUCCUACGGGAGGCAACAGUAGGGAAUCUUCCGCAAUGGGCGAAAGCCUGACGGAGCAACGCCGCGUGAGUGAUGAAGGUCUUCGGAUCGUAAAACUCUGUUAUUAGGGAAGAACAAAUGUGUAAGUAACUGUGCACGUCUUGACGGUACCUAAUCAGAAAGCCACGGCUAACUACGUG
Molecule: ribosomal RNA, 497 nt
Filed under: uncultured bacterium
Lineage: Bacteria
Description: partial 16S ribosomal RNA
Rfam family: Bacterial small subunit ribosomal RNA
Source: RNAcentral